Homo sapiens (human) is the source of this 2006-nucleotide long non-coding RNA. Ensembl annotates it as long intergenic non-protein coding RNA 1515. Lineage: Eukaryota; Metazoa; Chordata; Mammalia; Primates; Hominidae. The record is from Ensembl.
GUGGAACCUGGAAUUCAAACGGCUGGGUAGGAAGCACGCUAGCAGGGGCCUCUGGCCUUGCUGAGGGUCCCUGUUUCCCCUUUUCCUUCCUUUUCACCCAACAAAACCCUGCUUUACUCACCCUUCAAACCAUCUAUGAGCCUAAAUUGUCGUGGUCGUGGAAUGGACAAGGACCCAGUCUUUAGCUGAACUAAGGGAAAGUCCUGCUUUUUGGCGCGCAACAGGGGAGCUCAAGAAACAGGCCUCACUCACGGCAUAUGGAACUAACCACGCCCCUAACUAAGAAGGCACACCUUAGUUGCAGUUAGCACACAAUUAAAGCAACUCUCCAAGUUUUACCUUAAAGUUCAAAAUUGCUAGGAGUUGAAACUACUAGAAAUAUAUUUACAUGCAAGAGUCAAAGAAACUUUGAACUAUUUAUGGCCUUUAAUAAUUAAGUAAGGUAUACUCCUGUGAUCAAGACUUGGAGCAUAUUUGUUUCUCUCUGCCUGGUUCCUCUAGAAAUUGGAAACUAUCAGAACAGAGACCAACUCCGUUUCCCGAUCCCUUUGCAAUCUGCAUUGAACCAUGAGUCAAGUUCUUGAUAAAGGAGUGAAAAUGGUAAGUCUAAAGCAAUGAAAAGCUGCUGUAUUGACUACACAUGCCUUCAUUUCUUCUACCCUGCUUCUUUCAUGCCUGCUUAUCUGAAUGACACCAGGAUGACAUUUAAGGCACAUCUGAAGAUGGGGAAACCACAGCACAGAAUAAGGCUGGGCCCUUGAAUCAAUAAAUGAAGGAGAACUACUCAAGAGAACAAAACCACCAGCAAUAUCCACCUGUAUUUGUCUUUUCAUAAUGUGUGACACAUGUGCUCAUGGAUUAUUGUCCGAAGCAAGACAUGUGACCAAGCCUAACAUCAACUGGGUGAAGAGCUAUAUGUUCCUUUCUCAAGAGGCACUACAAGUGACAUGCCACUGGGCAGUGGCUGCUAUGGAAACAAGUCCUGAUGCAUGACAGAGGAGGAAAGCUAUCAGUCCUGUGGUUAAAGAGGGGACAUUUCCACUAGAUUUCCAAUUGCAUAUGGAAUCAAGAAAGAAGCAACUGGGAAUUACUUCACACAGCAAAUCUAAGGAAGAGACUGUUAAUUUGGCUUUGCCAGUUACUCCUUCUCAAGGCCCAUAAUUAAAUGUGAGUUUCUGGGCACUAAUGCAAAAGCCAGAUUUGCUCUGAGCCUGCGGGGCUUAUAAAUUGGUUGCUUUUGCAAACUGUUAUUGUUCCUUUAGGUCAAGAGGGGAAGAAUUAUUGACUUUGUUCAGUUGAAUUAAAUGCUCCCCUUGUGGUUUGAAAGAAGAAAUUUGCCUCCCUCACCCUCUAAGAUUACAUACAAAGGGAGAAUUGUUUUUGGGCAAGUUAGACUUGAUGAAAAAAUAUACAGUUCUACUGGAUUAUAGCACUGUGUGUUGCCUUAGAGUCACAUGACUCCAGUUUUGCCUUCUAUAUGAAGCCCAAGGCUUUCAUCUUUUUCUGAUACAGUGGGCUCUUCAGCUUUAAGCACUGACUUUUGUGUGCUAGUAUACAAUGCCUGUACACUCCCACAAAAAGCUCAAGAUGUCCUUACACGUAUUUGCUGUAGGUGUCCUUCAGCCGAUUUCAGUGCCUAGAAUCUAGAUGCUUUGCACCUAGUUUCACCUUUGCUCACAGAUGCUAGUGCCUUUUAGAAUCCCAAGAGGCCAAAGUAAAACUGAAAAGCCUAGGAGGACCUGGUGUGGCAAAAUCUCAUCAUGAUCCAUGCAACAGUGGAGGCAAUGUUACGCUCUGCCUCAGGUUAUACUUCUAUGCAAAUUAAAAAUAAAAUUCAUAGGAAGCAAUUAUAUUAGAGUUGGUAUUUAAUCCAGCAUUCUUCUGAAUUAUCUUACAUAUAAACUUAGUUCAUCUUAAUAUGAGAAUUAUAUAAUAAAUUUGAGGAAAUCUUACAGAUUUGUUCAAAAUAUGCUUGCUGAAUAAAUAAAUUAAUAGUAUAUGCUAGC